RNAcentral lists this ribosomal RNA (898 nucleotides) under uncultured bacterium. RNAcentral describes it as "bacterial SSU rRNA". It matches the Rfam family "Bacterial small subunit ribosomal RNA", at positions 21 to 895 of the family's 1533-position model. The record is from RNAcentral.
GGCUCAGAACGAACGCUGGCGGCGUGCCUAACACAUGCAAGUCGAACGGAAUUGAGGGGCUUGCUCUUCAAUUUAGUGGCGCACGGGUGAGUAACGCGUAGAUAAUCUGCCUGACGAUCUGGGAUAACACUUCGAAAGAGGUGCUAAUACCGGAUAAGCCCACGGGAUCUUUGGAUUCUGCGGGAAAAGGGGGGGACCUUCGGGCCUUCUGUCGUCAGAUGAGUCUGCGUACCAUUAGCUAGUUGGUAGGGUAAAGGCCUACCAAGGCGACGAUGGUUAGCUGGUCUGAGAGGAUGAUCAGCCACACUGGAACUGAGACACGGUCCAGACUCCUACGGGAGGCAGCAGUGGGGAAUUUUGCGCAAUGGGCGAAAGCCUGACGCAGCAACGCCGCGUGAGUGAUGAAGGCUUUCGGGUCGUAAAGCUCUGUCAAUGGGAAAGAAGUGUAUUGGAGCUAAUAUCUCCGAUACUUGACGGUACCCAUAAAGGAAGCACCGGCUAACUCCGUGCCAGCAGCCGCGGUAAUACGGGGGGUGCAAGCGUUGUUCGGAAUUAUUGGGCGUAAAGCGCGUGUAGGCGGUCUGAUUAGUCUGAUGUGAAAGCCCUGGGCUCAACCCAGGAAGUGCAUUGGAUACUGUCAGACUUGAAUACGGGAGAGGGUAGUGGAAUUCCUAGUGUAGGAGUGAAAUCCGUAGAUAUUAGGAGGAACACCGGUGGCGAAGGCGGCUACCUGGACCGAUAUUGACGCUGAGACGCGAAAGCGUGGGUAGCAAACAGGAUUAGAUACCCUGGUAGUCCACGCCGUAAACGAUGAGUACUAGGUGUUGCGGGUAUUGACCCCUGCAGUGCCGCAGCUAACGCAUUAAGUACUCCGCCUGGGAAGUACGGUCGCAAGACU